GACGAACGCUGGCGGCGUGCCUAAUACAUGCAAGUUGAGCGCUGAAGGUUGGUACUUGUACCAACUGGAUGAGCAGCGAACGGGUGAGUAACGCGUGGGGAAUCUGCCUUUGAGCGGGGGACAACAUUUGGAAACGAAUGCUAAUACCGCAUAAAAACUUUAAACACAAGUUUUAAGUUUGAAAGAUGCAAUUGCAUCACUCAAAGAUGAUCCCGCGUUGUAUUAGCUAGUUGGUGAGGUAAAGGCUCACCAAGGCGAUGAUACAUAGCCGACCUGAGAGGGUGAACGGCCACAUUGGGACUGGGACACGGCCCAAACUCCUACGGGAGGCAGCAGUAGGGAAUCUUCGGCAAUGGACGAAAGUCUGACCGAGCAACGCCGCGUGAGUGAAGAAGGGUUUCGGAUCGUAAAACUCUGUUGGUAGAGAAGAACGUUGGUGAGAGUGGAAAGCUCAUCAAGUGACGGUAACUACCCAGAAAGGGACGGCUAACUACGUG
Molecule: ribosomal RNA, 497 nt
Filed under: uncultured bacterium
Lineage: Bacteria
Description: partial 16S ribosomal RNA
Rfam family: Bacterial small subunit ribosomal RNA
Source: RNAcentral